RNAcentral lists this ribosomal RNA (492 nucleotides) under uncultured bacterium. Its description in RNAcentral is "partial 16S ribosomal RNA". It matches the Rfam family "Bacterial small subunit ribosomal RNA", at positions 29 to 507 of the family's 1533-position model. The record is from RNAcentral.
AGUGAACGCUGGCGGUAGGCCUAACACAUGCAAGUCGAACGGCAGCACAGUAAUAGCUUGCUCUUACGGGUGGCGAGUGGCGGACGGGUGAGGAAUACAUCGGAAUCUACUUUUUCGUGGGGGCUAACGUAGGGAAACUUACGCUAAUACCGCAUACGACCUACGGGUGAAAGCAGGGGAUCUUCGGACCUUGCGCGAUUGAAUGAGCCGAUGUCGGAUUAGCUAGUUGGCGGGGUAAAGGCCCACCAAGGCGACGAUCCGUAGCUGGUCUGAGAGGAUGAUCAGCCACACUGGAACUGAGACACGGUCCAGACUCCUACGGGAGGCAGCAGUGGGGAAUAUUGGACAAUGGGCGCAAGCCUGAUCCAGCCAUACCGCGUGGGUGAAGAAGGCCUUCGGGUUGUAAAGCCCUUUUGUUGGGAAAGAAAAGCAGCAGGUUAAUACCCCGCUGUUCUGACGGUACCCAAAGAAUAAGCACCGGCUAACUUCGUG